ACAUCUAUCCAGAAGCAAGUGUAGUUCGCCGGUGAUGCUCCUACAUUGUUUACGUGGUGAGGUAGCUGUUUAUGUUGAAUUCUUGGAGGUUAAGUUGAAAAGUAGAGGGUUGUUCCAGUUUCCUCCGGAGCUGGACAAGUGAAAGGGCGGAAUAUGCAAUGGUUUUUUCUCUCUGCUUUUAGGUGGCAAACAAAAUCUGGCUUUUCCUUUCUUUCUGAAGCUUCGUGGAGAACGCAAUGGCAACCCAGGAAUUCCAGAGCAGAUUUAUACCCAUCGAAAUCAGCAGCAUUCUCUUCGCGUUCCCCCCCCCCCAUGUGGGCUUCUCUUCUACACCAGAAAAAACGCUUCUCUAAUGUCAUAGAAGAGUGUUUCCUUCCGCUCUCGUCGUCACCUUCCUUGUUUCUCAGAAUUCAUUUCCAUCUACUGGGAUUUCCAUUUCUCCCAUUUUCGAUUCUUCAUUCGCAAAUCUUUUGAUUUUCAAUGGCUUCUUCGAGUUCUCAUCUCAUCGCUGACGGAUGAAUCGCCAAUGGUCAGAGAAGCCUCCAUGGCUUCUCUUAAGGACAUUUCUCCUCUGAAUCCUCUCCUUGUCCUUGACUGUUGUUCUGCUAUUUCUAGAGGUGGCCGUCGGAUAAAAAGGACAUUGAUGCCGCUUAUAUUGUCAAGCUCGCCAAAUUGCCACUGCCGAGAUUAUCUCUUCUAAGAUACAUAUCUUGCACAGCCUUUUCAACGACUUCUGCAUUAACAGAUUGGAGUAGUGUAUUUUUUCUGUUAUAUAUACAUCUGUCCCUACUAUUGUUGUUGGCAUUCUUGACAAUGACUUGAGUCAUAAAACACUCCUAAGUGACAUGAUGCGUAUAAUCUGCAACUCUUUUGGAUCACAAUGAUUUACACACUAUGGCAGAGCCUUGUUCUAUUCUAUAUACCUUUUUUCACAUAUAAGGAGAGCUCAAUUGAUAUAUGGAGCAUGGGCAGUUUUGUGGACUAUAGCAGUUGUUAUUCUUGUUAAUAUACACUUGGCGAUGGACAUUCAGCGUUGGGUAUUCAUUACUCAUGCUGCAGUGUGGGGAUCAAUAAUUAUCACAUGUGCUUGUAUGGUGGUAUUGGAUUCUAUACCUAUCUUCCCAGAUUACUGGGCAAUCUACCAUGUGGCAAAGUCACCCACCUAUUGGCUCACCAUUUUGCUUAUAAUAAUUGUGGCUUUACUUCCUCGCUUUCUUCUCAAAGUUAUACAUCAGAAUUUUUGGCCUUCAGAUAUUCAAAUAUCCAGAGAAGCAGAGAUUCUUAGAAAAGUGACUCCUAAUUUUAGGGACAGAUGAAGAUUCCAAUUAACAUGUACAUUACACCCUGUUUUGAAAUGGUUACUCAUCUAUCCAUCAUAUGGCUGUCCUGUGGCAUGCAAUUGUAAUUUAUGAUGAUGAGUUGCAAAAAGCUGAAUUUGCAGCAGGCUUGUGAAACAUUAAUGAAAAAGCACGGCAGAAUAUUUUUAUGUAAAGGGAAAGAGAGGGAGGGUUGGUCAAAGUGAACGCAGAGUGGCCUGUUGCUGUAUACUUCAUGUUUUUUUAAGAAGGAAAACCAAAUGGUGGAAAGUUUGCUUCCCCAACAAAUAGGUGAAAUGAAUGCUC
This is a long non-coding RNA of Hibiscus syriacus, 1622 nucleotides long. RefSeq lists it as uncharacterized. Lineage: Eukaryota; Viridiplantae; Streptophyta; Magnoliopsida; Malvales; Malvaceae. The transcript has 7 exons. The record is from RefSeq and is a predicted model, not a curated record.